CAUGUCUUUUUGAUUAUUAUUUAAGGUUUAAUCUGCUCAAUGAAAAUUUAAAUUGCCGCAGUAUUUUAACUGUGCAAAGGUAGCAUAAUAAUUAGUUUUUUUAUUGGAAGCUGGAAUGAAUGAUUUGACAAGAAAAUUACUGUCUCUUAUUAAUUAUUUCUUGAAAUUUAUUUUUAAGUUAAAAAGCUUAAAUUUUUUUUAUAGACGAGAAGACCCUAUAGAGUUUAAUUUUUUAUUUUUAUAUUAUUAUUAUGUAAUUAAUUAUCUUAUUUUAAAUUAAAAAUUUAAUUGGGGUGAUUAAAAAAUUUAAUUAACUUUUUUAAAUUUUUAUUACUGAUUUGUAAAUUUUUAAUCUAACAAUGUUAAGUUUAAUAUAAAUUACCUUAGGGAUAACAGCGUAAUUUUUUUUUGAAGUUCUUAUUUAAAGAAAAGAUUGCGACCUCGAUGUUGGAUUAAAA
RNAcentral lists this ribosomal RNA (458 nucleotides) under Malthininae sp. UPOL 001312. Its description in RNAcentral is "partial 16S ribosomal RNA". The record is from RNAcentral. Lineage: Eukaryota; Metazoa; Arthropoda; Insecta; Coleoptera; Cantharidae.